UAAAAAAAAGUGAAUAAAGUAUACGCAGAACCAAGAAUGAAAUCUAAGAACUUCCGAAAAUUCUAUUCAAACUGUUUUGGCAGGCAUAUCUUUCAUAGGCAGUUAAGUCUAAAUUUAGCAAACGAGUGAUUCUUUAAUAGGCAGAUAAUGAAAAUUUCGUGGAGUUCUAAGUUCUGAGGAUUCUUCUAUGAUUGAUGGUAACAUUGGGUGCAAAUAGAUGAAAUUUUUUCUUUAAACUGGUGCCGUCGUGUGGAAGCGAGCAGAUUGUGCUAAAGGUUACUGAUAUCAAAAAAAAUUGUGGAGUUCAGAGAUUAGUAACUGCUUGGAUUAAGGUAUCUAAAGAAACUCCAUCAUCAGUGUUAUCUUACGCAAUUCCAUGGCAUUUCCUUGGAACGCUCAGCUGCAUUCCUUGGAACACUCAGCUGCAUUCAAAGGAAGCCACUUAUACAGAAUUCAGGUUCAUAGACCUCCAAAAAAGGAAUGGAUCAGGUAUAUUAAAGUGAAAAAAACAUCUCUUGCAGAAUGCGACAAAUUCAACAAGCUUUUCUAGCACCAGAGCCGCACUGAAAAUCAACUCAUCAUUCACCCAAAGAUGCUGAAGUAAGUGCAUCUGUGUUUUUGUUGAAAAACUAUUUCGGAGGAAGUAUGGCUGUUUUUUGGACAAGUGAAACAAUUUAGAGAUAAGAUAAGAGCAAUACGUUAUUCAUUAUUUGAGGGAUAAAUCAAUGGUCGCCUAAUAAAAUUCGUAAAGAUUACUUUAGUUAAACAUUCUAAGAAAGGAGACAUCAAUGGUAAAUUUCGGUUAGCAUUCAACUCAUUUCUUCGUUAUUUUUCUUAAUUCAGUUUUCUCUCGCAGUUCUAAUUAUUCUUAUUGCUUAUUAUUUUUGUAGGCAGAACCAUGGUUUUUUCUCCGUUUGGUGUAAUGUGUUGCAUCUUUUGCUCUGGCUGAUUCAGUUGAUUUUUUUUUUUUUUUUGCUUUUUGCAUUAACUGCUUACUGCGUAGAAUAGGCUUUCAUUGUUGUUGCCUUUCAUCGGGAGUUGCUUUUGCUUCUCAAAACCACCGUUACUCCAUAGGUUUAUAGAGGGAACGGAAAGUCACACGUGAUGAGUGAUUGCGGGUUUGAGAUGCGAUCAGGUUCAGUUGCGGUCGGGGAUUCUAGGUAUAUAUUUUUAUCUGGGUUGUCUUAUCCUGGCUACUACUGCUAACCAUGUUCUCUUUAACUUCUUGGUUAUUGGGGUAUAGCAGAAGCUGCCAGGGCGGGACAACUUAGUGGACAUCACAUGAAAAACUAAGGAGUGAUUCGAGCUGUUGCAUUUUUUUUCUCUGCUGUUUGUAGUUAACUCACGAGGGAAAACAAUCUUCACCCAAGUUGUGUCAUACCAUUGUAAGGUAUUUAUACAAUCCAAAGAAAGAUCCAAUUGGCAACAAAGUAACGUAAGUGUUGGUUUAACUACGGAGGGAGAGGAAUAACUUCAAAGGAAGAGGAAUGUAAAUACAGAAAAAGUAUUGUUGCAUUCAACCAUGUUGUCUCGAGUUUCUAUCUUUAGCAGAAUCGGUGAAGAGUUCGACAGAUUCUGAGCUCUAUUUAAUUAGCAGAAUCAGUGAAGAGUUUGACAUAUUCUGAGCUCUAUUUAAGUGGGAAUUAUAGGAUUGCUAAAGUCAGUGCACAAAUGAUCAUUGCCUUCUUGGUAGAUAAGAUUUUUAGUGGUCUCUUAAGGAGUCUGGUAAAUCCAAGAAUUUCUGAUGAACAUUUCUCUGUUCCGAGGCUCCAACCACCUUUAUAACUCUUAUGUACUCGCUCAAGUGAAAUGUACUCAGACCGACUAUUGCUCAAAAUCAUUCGAUUCGUUUUUGGAUUUAAUCCUUGAAAUAGACUGGCAACUAAUCCAAGAAUUUCUGUUGCACAUUUCUUUGUUCUGCGCUCAAGUGAAUGUAAGCUUUUUAUUCAAAAGAAUAAACAACAAAAUUUUGUUCUCUUGAUGGUUUUGGAUUCUUUAGAUCAAAGAAUGAAAAACCACGUAUUGAUUUUUUGGUCAUUUGGCAGUGUAAAGGAUACUGCGAUGAUGUGAUGAUUGAUUUAUACAGGCUGCAAAAGCACAAGUCACGGGAAGGCCACCACACCUUUCUGUGAACUGAAGGUAGAAGGCAAAUAAGUUAACUAAGGGCGAAUAAGAUGAAUCUAGCCAUGCUUGCGAACUGGUGUUGGAGGUUUGGCCAGGAGAAGAACAGGCUGUGGUAUAGAAUUAUAGUUGAUAAAUACGGUGAUAAUUUCUCAAUCUGGAUUCCAAAUCAAGUCAAAUCUGCACACGGUGUCUCCUGUUGGAAAACAAUAGCAACUACAGCCUAUUUGGUGAGUACGAAUUCAAGAUUAAUUAUCCAUUCUGGUGCAACGAUGUCCUUCUGGAAUGAUAUCUGGAGGGGAAAUUCUUCUAUUUCUUCAUCUUUUCCAGCUCUGUACAAAAUCUCUACAAAUAGAGACGCAAAGAUGGUUGAAAUGAUCUCUAUGGAUGGAAGCUGGAUGUUCAGUUUUAAACGUAAUCUCUCGGGUUCAGAAGCUAACUCUUUUGCAGAAUUGUUGAUGAUGAUUGGAAACAACCCACCAGCUCUUGAUGACCUUCCAGACACAAGGCGUUGGUCUUUGCGCAACUCGGGAAUUUUCACAGUCAAAUCUCUCUAUUCUAAACUCAUUGCAGACUAUGGUGUUCAUGAUUUUCCCCAUAACUUUGUAUGGAAGAAACUUAUACCUCCUAAAAUCAACUUCCUAGUGUGGUGUUUAAUCCAUGAGAAGCUAAACACCAUUGACAUGAUGCAAAUAAAGGGUAUUGACAUUUAUAAUUCCUGCGUUCUGUGCGGUGAUGACAUUGAAUCAGGAUCACAUCUUCCUGCACUGCAAAAUAGCUCAUAGAGUUUGGUCUUCGGUGUUACCAAAAGAGGGUAUUUUUUGGAAAUAAAUAUUUUUGGAAAUUUCGGCUCGAAAAGUUGCCCGGGGCACCCUUGGAGGACACGUGUUAUUCGGACUCUCACCUUUGGUCAAGGGGCACCUCAAUUACUAAGGGGCACCUUCUUUGCUAUUCGCACCCCAGCUGUUGGAUAAGGGGCAACCCUUUCUUCUUCGUUUAAAUUUGUUUUGGCGGGAAAUUUUCAUUCUCAAAUUGUGGAUUUUUCGACCGGAAUUUGGAGGGGUUAGAGGUUAACUCAAUCGCUGAAACUUCAUGGGUAGACGUGAUAUGACAAUAGAAAGCUGGUAUGGGUGUUCGUUUGAAUCAGAAUUGGCUCAAUCGUGUCAUGGAGUGAAACAGAGCAACACGUAUCCGAGAGAAGUAUUUCACGGAUUUUCCCAAGCUUUGUUGUUCUUUGCGUGUGCUUAGAAGGAUCCAGCCACCAGUUAGGCAGUGUCAGAGAUAAACAAGGAGAGUUUUGCAGCUCUAUACGCGUGGAGAAUCAAAUCAGGGAAGAAAUAUUCCCGAAUCUUGCAUGGAUAUAUUCUUGAUUAACUGCCGGAUAUAUUGGAGUUAUGAGGAGUAAUCCGGGGUCCUGUCGAGUAUAUAUAGAGUCUCGGGGAACCACAGAGAGGGGAUGGAGAGUUAGGGGAAGAAAAGAGAGGAGUUUGAUCGAG
This is a long non-coding RNA of Papaver somniferum (opium poppy), 3617 nucleotides long. RefSeq lists it as uncharacterized. The transcript is spliced from 10 exons. The record is from RefSeq and is a predicted model, not a curated record. Lineage: Eukaryota; Viridiplantae; Streptophyta; Magnoliopsida; Ranunculales; Papaveraceae.